GUGAAUGGCAAAGGCUCGAUCAUUGAUGGCAAGGUGGCAGUUUGCAACGAAUUUUUACCAUGUUUUUGCAAAGUAUAUCAAUCUUUUGUGGUUUUGAUAGUCAGAGGUUCGCAGAGGGAAGGAAAUGGCUAUUUCCGGAUUAAAUUCUUGAGAUUCAGUAAUUUGCUGGAUUGGGAAACGAAAAUCUAAAAUGAAUGUUAAAACAGAAGUACUGGCAGCGUCAGGGCCUGACCAACACUCGACACCGUUCUGGAUCCCAAACACCGUGUAGCCUCGAAACGCAGCCUCUUGCUUAC
This is a long non-coding RNA of Dendronephthya gigantea, 296 nucleotides long. RefSeq lists it as uncharacterized. NCBI's taxonomy places the organism in Eukaryota, Metazoa, Cnidaria, Anthozoa, Malacalcyonacea, Nephtheidae. The transcript has 4 exons. The record is from RefSeq and is a predicted model, not a curated record.